Molecule: non-coding RNA, 1017 nt
Organism: Phascolarctos cinereus (koala)
Lineage: Eukaryota; Metazoa; Chordata; Mammalia; Diprotodontia; Phascolarctidae
Source: RefSeq, a predicted model, not a curated record
GGUGCAGAGACAAAUUCAAAGACAUAAGAGGCAGAGACAGACAGAACAGGUCCUCAUCCAAAGAUACGGAGAAGUCAGAUGGACGGAAAGAGAAACCAGAGAUUUGGAGAGAUUGAGGACAUAGAAGAAGAGAUACAGUAGCCAGAGACAGAGACACCCCAGAUAAAGAGAUAGACAAAGAUGAAGAAAGAGAUUGAUAAAGACAGGAAUAUGGAGAGAUAAAGAGGAGGAAACAGGGAGGUCCAAUGAAAAAGACAGGCAGGAAUAAAGAUAUCAAUGAAGAGGAGGGAAAAAGACGAAAAACCAGAAUGUUCCCCCUUCCUAAUAACUAAAACCUGGUCACUUUAUUACUUUAGAUUUACAAAUCACUACAUAUACAUACAUUGUUGGAUUUAAUCCUUACAACAACGCAGAAGUGUGAAGCAGAUACUACCAGUAAAAUCCUCACUUUAGAAAAGAGUAAACUGAGGCUCGGGGUGCUUACAGCAAGCUAAUACAGCCCGCGUAAGUCAGAAGUGGAAUUGCAGCUCCCAGCAAGCCUUAACUGAAGUUCAGCACCGCCCUUCCCCCACCCCCUAACUGCCUCUUCUCAGGCACCACCGCACCACCUGCCCCGGGAGGGGAAGUCUGGUCCCUACUGAACCGGGAGCUGAGUCCCUCCGUCCUAGACUGAGCUGAGACUGGGGAUACCGCUGCAGAGAGAGGGGUUAAGAAACUGAGGCCCCAGAGAGGCGAAGUACUUGCUCGAGGACACCCAGGUUAACAACUGGCAGCGUCAGGAUUCGAACCCAAGUCCCAGGAUCUCAAGCCCACACCAGAGAACCCGAGAUGGAUCCUGGGACCACGCACAGAGAAAUGGCAUUGAGUAAAAUAAAAAUCAUUCAUAGAUACAUCUGCAAGGAUGACGAAGGGGGACUGUUGUAAAUAUUCUUUUUACACAGUUCAAAGUGGGAGAUGAGCUCCUUGACUCCCCCAGUACAGAACUCCUGAGUAUCUGGAACAGGCAUCCUGAGCCAC